GAAGGGACCUAGCGUAGUUCGGAAUUACUGGGCUUAAAGAGUUCGUAGGUGGUUGAAAAAGUUAGUGGUGAAAUCCCAGAGCUUAACUCUGGAACUGCCAUUAAAACUUUUCAGCUAGAGUAUGAUAGAGGAAAGCAGAAUUUCUAGUGUAGAGGUGAAAUUCGUAGAUAUUAGAAAGAAUACCAAUUGCGAAGGCAGCUUUCUGGAUCAUUACUGACACUGAGGAACGAAAGCAUGGGUAGCGAAGAGGAUUAGAUACCCUCGUAGUCCAUGCCGUAAACGAUGUGUGUUAGACGUUGGAAAUUUAUUUUCAGUGUCGCAGCGAAAGCGUUAAACACACCGCCUGGGGAGUACGACCGCAAGGUUAAAACUCAAAUGAAUUGACGGGGACCCGCACAAGUAGUGGAGCAUGUGGUUUAAUUCGAAGAUACGCGCAGAACCUUACCAACACUUGACAUGUUCGUCGCGACUCUAAGAGAUUAGAGUUCGGUUCGGGCGGACGAAACACAGGUGCUGCAUGGCUGUCGUCAGCUCGUGUCGUGAGAUGUUGGGUUAAGUCCCGCAACGAGCGCAACCCUCACUUUUAGUUGCCAUCAUUUAGUUGGGCACUCUGAAAGAACUGCCAGUGAUAAGCUGGA
RNAcentral lists this ribosomal RNA (638 nucleotides) under uncultured Alphaproteobacteria bacterium. RNAcentral's name for it is "bacterial SSU rRNA". It matches the Rfam family "Bacterial small subunit ribosomal RNA", at positions 527 to 1167 of the family's 1533-position model. The record is from RNAcentral. Lineage: Bacteria; Pseudomonadati; Pseudomonadota; Alphaproteobacteria.